CAGAAAACCUUCCGGGAGAUUUCAGAAUGCUUAAUGUGGGGUGUUUCUCUAAUUUCCUGUGCCUCCUUUUUCUGAGAGAUGAGAAGCUCUGAUUGCUUCACCUCCUGUGACAGAUGUGCUGAAAAUCAUUCUUUAAUGCAAACGUUUCAAGUCGUCUGUCGGGAUCAGAAGCCAAACAGAAAAUGGAUGAGCGGCCAAAACUACUUCGUAGACCUCUGCCUCCUAAGCUGCCAUCUAAACUAUCUACACCAAGGGAGAAGGUUGGUAAAGGCAAGGUUUCUGGACAAUACGUAAGUAGAGUGAUGAAGAGUACAAAUGAUGAAAAUAGAAAUGCAGUGUCUGGAGGUUAUGUCAGUGCUCAAGGGCAAGUCAAGCAGACGGAUGCUUCCCUCAGCCAUGGAAAAUCUAGCUGCAGGUUCAUCCUUUCACCAUCUACCUUUGAAGAUGACACUCAAAAAGCCACUUGUUUCCCACUACAACUGCGAAGUCCUCAGUAGCAAGUUAAUGACUGAAAACAGGAGCUUGCAGACUGAAGUUAACACAGUGAUGUUAUCUGAUAUCGAUUUACCAGUAGUUGAAACAAGAAAGCCUGAGCAACAGAAAAUCCUAGAAAUCACCUCGCAAGAGAAAAUAAGAAAAUCUGGUUCGCCGGAACAACUUUUGCAAGAACAAAAGAAAGAAAAAGGAUAUAUUAUACACUGUGUAAAGCUAACUGAACCUGGAAGAGCAGAAGGACCCUUUACAGACUCUAAUGAUGGCCCUGAUGUUGUUAGUGUGGACAGUGCUUGGGAAACCAGUUUCCACUUAAUAGCAAGCAAGCAAGAUGAGGAGGAAAAACUGAUGUUCAGAUCCCAAGUGAAAGUAUGGCAUUGCUUCUUGAACCGGAAGACUGCUCUCAGCCUUCAGGCCCAGGGCUUUGCCUGCCGUGGAAAAAGCUGUCCUUGGACAACUUGA
Molecule: long non-coding RNA, 954 nt
Filed under: Anser cygnoides (Swan goose)
Lineage: Eukaryota; Metazoa; Chordata; Aves; Anseriformes; Anatidae
Description: lncRNA (ENSACDG00005014609.1)
Source: RNAcentral